CCUACGUGAGGCAGCAGUGGGGAAUAUUGCGCAAUGGGCGAAAGCCUGACGCAGCGACGCCGCGUGAGGGAUGAAGGUCUUCGGAUCGUAAACCUCUGUCAGCAGGGAAGAACGGUCACUGUGCUAAUCAGCAGUGAAUUGACGGUACCUGCAAAGGAAGCACCGGCUAACUCCGUGCCAGCAGCCGCGGUAAUACGGAGGGUGCGAGCGUUAAUCGGAAUUACUGGGCGUAAAGCGCUCGUAGGCGGUAUGUCAAGUCAAGGGUGAAAUCCCCGCGCUCAACGGGGGAACUGCCUUUGAAACGGGCAAACUGGAGUGUGUGAGAGGAUAGUGGAAUUCCAGGUGUAGGAGUGAAAUCCGUAGAUAUCUGGAGGAACAUCAGUGGCGAAGGCGACUAUCUGGCACAUAACUGACGCUGAGGAGCGAAAGCGUGGGUAGCAAACAGGAUUAGAUACCCUUGUAGUC
Molecule: ribosomal RNA, 465 nt
Filed under: uncultured bacterium
Lineage: Bacteria
Description: partial 16S ribosomal RNA
Rfam family: Bacterial small subunit ribosomal RNA
Source: RNAcentral